RNAcentral lists this ribosomal RNA (200 nucleotides) under uncultured bacterium. RNAcentral's name for it is "partial 16S ribosomal RNA". It matches the Rfam family "Bacterial small subunit ribosomal RNA", at positions 328 to 539 of the family's 1533-position model. The record is from RNAcentral.
ACGCUCGACACCUACGGGGAGGCAGCAGGUGGGGAAUAUUGCACAAUGGAGGAAACUCUGAUGCAGCGAUGCCGCGUGAGGGAAGAAGGUUUUCGGAUUGUAAACCUCUGUCUUUGGGGACGAUAAUGACGGUACCCAAGGAGGAAGCUCCGGCUAACUACGUGCCAACAGCCGCGGUAAUCUGAGCGGGCUGGCAAGGC